AACGAGCGCUGGCGGCGCGUCUUAAGCAUGCAAGUCGAGCGGCAAGGUAGCAAUACCCUAGAGCGGCGGACUGGUGAGUAACGCGUGGGUGACCUGCCUUUGUGUUGGGGAUAGCCAUUAGAAAUAGUGGGUAAUACCGAAUACGGUUACGGGACUAUGGUUCUGUAAGAAGGGAGCUACGGCUCCGCACGAAGAUGGGCCCGCGUCCCAUUAGCUAGUUGGGGGUGUAACGGACGACCAAGGCGAUGAUGGGUAGCCGGACUGAGAGGUUGAACGGCCACAUUGGGACUGAGAUACGGCCCAAACUCCUACGGGAGGCAGCAGCUAAGAAUAUUCCGCAAUGGACGAAAGUCUGACGGAGCGACGCCGCGUGUAUGAUGAAGGCCGGAAGGUUGUAAAGUACUUUUGUCAACGAAGAAUAAGUGUGGGAGGGAAUGCCCGCAUGAUGACGUUAGUUGGCGAAUAAGCCCCGGCUAAUUACGUGCCAGCCGCCGCGGUAA
RNAcentral lists this ribosomal RNA (500 nucleotides) under uncultured bacterium. RNAcentral describes it as "partial 16S ribosomal RNA". It matches the Rfam family "Bacterial small subunit ribosomal RNA", at positions 29 to 523 of the family's 1533-position model. The record is from RNAcentral.